Molecule: unclassified non-coding RNA, 2732 nt
Filed under: Harpegnathos saltator (Jerdon's jumping ant)
Lineage: Eukaryota; Metazoa; Arthropoda; Insecta; Hymenoptera; Formicidae
Description: cytochrome P450 4C1, transcript variant X3
Source: RNAcentral
UAUUAUACGUCUAUGGUUGAGCCACGGUCGUCACCAUUUUCGCGCCAAAUUGUCCCGUUUCUCUAUUUACUUGGGAUCUUGGGCCUGUCAACUGAGCGGACGUGCGUGAGGAUGACUCGGCGAGAUAUAUCGGCGAAUUUCGACGCGAGACGCAGUGUCGCAACGAUGAGAACAUUCCUUUUGUUGGCAAUAUCCGUCAUUGCUAUUUUACUGUGCAAAAUCGUAGUGCUCGUAUACAAUACUUAUAUCACACGGAAAAAAUUAAGCCACAUUCCUGGGCCUAUCUCGGUCCCUUUCAUCGGAACGUUAUCUUUUCUACUACAAACGGAACAAGAGGAACACAGUGUGCAAGUUACAUUAAUCAGUCGCCUCGUCAUAGGUCGUGUCGAUUGGGUACUAUCGCUAUUGCACAAAUUUAAAGACGGAAUUUUUCAAAUUUGGAUAGGACCGCAACCAAUAAUUUACUUAUAUAAACCGGAGCUAUUGAAAACCGUCCUUGCAAGUACCGUGUUUAUAGAGAAAUCGGUGCAUUACGAUUUCUAUAAAGAAUGGAUGGGUAAUGGACUUCUUACCUCUAGUGGCAAGCAAUGGGUACGAGACAGGAAGCUCCUUUCGCCAUCGUUCCAUUUUAACAUACUAGAACAAUUCGGUGCGAUUAUAUCCGAGAAAAUAGAAAUCAUGCUAAAACAAAUGGAGAAAAAGAUAGCGAAAGAUCCAAGGAAGGCUAUCAAUAUCAUCCCCAUUAUAGAAGAUAUGACUUUCGAAAUUGUAUUUGAUACAAUAUUGAAUAUAAAUGAACAUACUCGGAAAGACAAGACACAAUUUAUUACCAACGUACGGAGAUUGCUCAAACUGAUCUCAAUACGUAUAAAUCAACCAUGGUUUUGGGUGAACUGGAUAUAUAACUUGUCUCCUAUGGGAAGAGAAUAUAAAAAGUUAAUUCACAAUCUGCAUGAAUUUACGAGAGAUAUAAUACAAACAAAACAACUUGUAUAUAACGUACAGAACGACAAAUCACAGAGUAACUGCGAUGACUUUGAAACAGCAGCCAAGAGGAAGAGGAAGACCUUACUAGAACUUUUGUUAGACCUAAGUAAAAACGAAAACAAUAUGCUAACUAUGGAAGAUUUGAAGUCACAGCUCAAUACAUUCAUAUUUGCGAGUUACGAUACAACGGCAACUACGCUUUGUUGGGCGCUCUACUGUCUUGGCAAUAAUCUUGACCACCAAGAGAAGGUUCACAAAGAACUAGAGGAAGUUUUCCAAGAUUCGCAAGAGCCAGCCUCUGUAAUGCAACUCUCACAAUUAAAAUAUCUCGACAGAGUUAUGAAAGAGUCUAUCAGAUUAUAUCCAACCGUGCCGUCAAUUGCGAGAAAAAUCAGGGACAAUAUAAACAUAGAUGAUUGGGUAAUCCCGAAAGACAGCACAGUUUUGGUGUCGAUCAUGCUGCUGCAUCGCAACCCAGCGGUCUGGCCGAAUCCAUUGAAGUUCGAUCCGGAUCGAUUCCUACCUGAGAACAUGAGAUAUAUGCAUCCGUACUCUUUCAUUCCGUUUAGUACUGGACCGAGAAACUGCAUCGGCCAGCGAUUCGCCUUGCUCGAGGAGAAGAUCAUAUUGACUGCCAUACUCCGAAAGUGGAGGGUCAAGAGCGUGGAUACGCCUGCGGAAAUAACUCUGUUCGACGGCGCUGUGUUACGACCGUAUCAGCAAAUUAUACGUAUGCAUUUAUCACCAAGAAAAGAAAAGUAAAAUGUCACGUGACUUAAUACCGAUUCUAUGCGCCGUUGAGUUCUAAAAAUAAAGGAAUAUUUCCUUUCUGUUUUACCUGUUCUUUUUUUACACGCGGCUAAUUGCGUCCUCUGCAGCGCUCUCCUUCCCGAAGCGAUUUGUGUAUCAUGUUUUAUGUGCACCCGACUACUUAGUAUAGCGACACUAAUGUCAACUGUAGAUAAGUAGCGCGCGAGCCGCAUGAUAAUAUUCGUGAUGAUGAGUGUGCUAGCGAGCAGAAUUCAGAAUAAUUCAGAACGGGGUCAAUAAUAAAAAGAUGAUCUCAAUGUAUAUAGGUGUGGGAGAAAAAAAUCAAGGCGAUGAAGAAAAACGACGUCAUUAAGCGAGCGAGAUGAAUGUCUCAAAGCAUUGAUUUUCCAUCGAUCAGUCGAGUUCACGCAGUGCGAACGUAGACAUCGUGUUUCGCAUCGCGCAUAGCGAUGGAUGUACUUUCUGUGCGCGAAUCGCUACGUAACCGCGGUAAAGUCGCAUUCGUUUCUCCGUAUAUUUUGUUAAUCGCACACGAAUUAUCUCAUUUCAAAUUUCGUAAAUUAUUCUAAAAACUCUCACAUUAAACAUUUUGGUCGAACAUUAAAAACGAUGUUAAAACAUUGAUUGGAGGGAAAUAGAGGCGAAACGAAGGGAAAUACGUCGGUUUUGGAAAUGUUGUGUGACCCAAUUAUCUGUUUUUAGAGAUACGGAUAAUUAACGACGCCAUGUCGGCAAACUAAUUCCGAGUGCGCUUUUCGCGAAAUUUGUGUGAAGUGCAUAGACACGUGAAUAAAUUUUAUAUCGACCAGAGAAUCACGUUAUCAUACGUUUAAAAAGAGAAUGUUUCCGUAUAAUUUAUUAUGUACGACAAACUUAUUGCGCAGCAAUCUCGUCCGAAGGAAAUUGAUCUAUCAAGAAAAUGAUCGUCAACAGGAUGUAAAAACGACGUUCCUACGAUGUUCUUCGGACAAUAU